Molecule: transfer RNA, 72 nt
Filed under: Candidatus Omnitrophota bacterium
Lineage: Bacteria; Pseudomonadati; Candidatus Omnitrophota
Description: tRNA-Arg
Rfam family: tRNA
About the family: Transfer RNA (tRNA) molecules are approximately 80 nucleotides in length. Their secondary structure includes four short double-helical elements and three loops (D, anti-codon, and T loops). Further hydrogen bonds mediate the characteristic L-shaped molecular structure. tRNAs have two regions of fundamental functional importance: the anti-codon, which is responsible for specific mRNA codon recognition, and the 3' end, to which the tRNAs corresponding amino acid is attached (by aminoacyl-tRNA synthetases). tRNAs cope with the degeneracy of the genetic code in two manners: having more than one tRNA (with a specific anti-codon) for a particular amino acid; and 'wobble' base-pairing, i.e. permitting non-standard base-pairing at the 3rd anti-codon position.
Source: RNAcentral
GCCCCUGUAGCGCAAUGGAUAGCGCACUAGCCUCCGGAGCUAGUGGUGGCCGUUCGACUCGGCCCAGGGGCA